CUGCAGCCAGUUAAGCGGACCAUGCUUUUUUCCUCAUGGGGGUCCUGGUGUCUAAGGGCUGCAAAUAGUAGCCUAUUUGGUAAUGUAUGUAAACUGUUGCUCAUAGGGGUUGCCCAAAGUGACAUGGAGACAGCC
This is a small nucleolar RNA of Balaenoptera musculus (blue whale), 135 nucleotides long. Its record names the gene SNORA70. It matches the Rfam family "Small nucleolar RNA SNORA70". From Rfam's summary of the family: snoRNA U70 seems to be exclusive to mammals and is a member of the H/ACA class of snoRNA which contain H (ANANNA) and ACA box motifs. H/ACA box snoRNAs are involved in the conversion of uridines to pseudouridines (5-ribosyluracil) a constituent of structural RNAs (transfer, ribosomal, small nuclear, and small nucleolar). The record is from Ensembl. Lineage: Eukaryota; Metazoa; Chordata; Mammalia; Artiodactyla; Balaenopteridae.